Albula goreensis is the source of this 75-nucleotide non-coding RNA. Lineage: Eukaryota; Metazoa; Chordata; Actinopteri; Albuliformes; Albulidae. The record is from the annotation of a GenBank genome assembly.
CUGCCUGUAGCCUAGUGGCUUAGGUACAGGAUUGGGACACCUGAGGUUGGUGGCUCAAGUCCCAUCCUAGGCAGA